GUGCUUAGUUUGGCAGCACUUAUACUAAAAUUGGAAAAAUAUGGAGAUUAGUAUAGUUUCAGCUCAAGAAUGACAUGCAAAUUUGUGAAACAUUACAUAUUUUU
Pteronotus mesoamericanus is the source of this 104-nucleotide small nuclear RNA. The record is from RefSeq and is a predicted model, not a curated record. NCBI's taxonomy places the organism in Eukaryota, Metazoa, Chordata, Mammalia, Chiroptera, Mormoopidae.